RNAcentral lists this ribosomal RNA (253 nucleotides) under uncultured bacterium. RNAcentral describes it as "partial 16S ribosomal RNA". It matches the Rfam family "Bacterial small subunit ribosomal RNA", at positions 524 to 776 of the family's 1533-position model. The record is from RNAcentral.
UACGAAGGGGGCUAGCGUUGCUCGGAAUUACUGGGCGUAAAGGGCGCGUAGGCGGAUAUUUAAGUUGGGGGUGAAAUCCCGGGGCUCAACCUCGGAAUUGCCUUCAAAACUGGAUAUCUUGAGUUCGGGAGAGGUGAGUGGAACUCCGAGUGUAGAGGUGAAAUUCGUAGAUAUUCGCAAGAACACCAGUGGCGAAGGCGGCCGACUGGUCCGGUUCUGACGCUGAGGCGCGAAAGCGUGGGGAGCAAACAGG